RNAcentral lists this long non-coding RNA (341 nucleotides) under Mustela putorius furo (domestic ferret). RNAcentral's name for it is "lncRNA (ENSMPUG00000028525.1)". The record is from RNAcentral. Lineage: Eukaryota; Metazoa; Chordata; Mammalia; Carnivora; Mustelidae.
UUAUUUCCAACCUCUCACCAAGACCUGCUAUUGGUAUUUAAACAGGGAAGUUAACCUGGUUGCAGCAAUUGGGGACAGCUUUCCAAGGAGUAAUAUUUGAAAUGAAUGAACUGAACGGAACUAAGAGCUGAAGAAUGAAUCUGUAAGUACCAGAAGGGUGUGGCCAAAGGAGUCAACAAAAGAUUCAACAUGGGGUUCACCGGAGUCUGGGCUUUGUCAAGUGUGCCGAGGACACAUGUUGAAUGAGAAGUGCUUGAGAGAAGUUGCCGCAGAGGACCAGGACAGUGACAGAGGUGGGUGUUCAUCUCCCUCGGACCUUCCCACCCACAGGCCGUCAUAAG